This 253-nucleotide ribosomal RNA is filed under the name uncultured bacterium. Its description in RNAcentral is "partial 16S ribosomal RNA". It matches the Rfam family "Bacterial small subunit ribosomal RNA", at positions 524 to 776 of the family's 1533-position model. The record is from RNAcentral.
UACAGAGGGGCCAAGCGUUGUCCGGAAUCAUUGGGCGUAAAGCGCGCGUAGGUGGCCAUUUAAGUCCGCUGUGAAAGUCAGAGGCUCAACCUUUGAAAGCCGGUGGAUACUGGAUGGCUAGAGUACGGAAGAGGCGAGUGGAAUUCCUGGUGUAGCGGUGGAAUGCGCAGAUAUCAGGAGGAACACCUAUAGCGAAGGCAGCUCGCUGGGACGACACUGACGCUGAGACGCGAAAGCGUGGGGAGCGAACAGG